Non-coding RNA from Misgurnus anguillicaudatus (oriental weatherfish), 1141 nucleotides. NCBI's taxonomy places the organism in Eukaryota, Metazoa, Chordata, Actinopteri, Cypriniformes, Cobitidae. The record is from RefSeq and is a predicted model, not a curated record.
AAAUGUCUUAACUCGGAAGGAUCUGAAUCACAGGUCAUUUCAUCUGAGAUCAUUCCGCAUGUAACAGCUGGAAUCACUCACUGUUUCCCACAACGACACAAGUCAUCAGCCGCUUCCUCAAGGUCACGUCAGAGCGGUGAUGAUGAGAGGCAGACCAGCCCACCACCAUACGCGAAGAUGAGCCUCGAGGCGUGACAGUUAUUUUUUCAAACUGAGGAGUUCGGACUCCGGACCGGCAUUUCUGCUUGUUUGUACCCUGAGGAACCCAAAGGUCCCACACCAACCAUAGUGUUCAACGGCUCUCCUGAUCUUCUCAAAUCUGAAAGUAUCAACUUUAUAAUGGACAAUGUGAACUUAAUAUGUGGAAGACAUUGACAUCACAGGCUGUGGAAUGACUGUGUCACAGGUCGGAGAAGCGAACCGCCCCUGUCACGGAUCACGCUCCUCCUAGUUCCACUUCGAGGAGGUCCCAAAGCACCCCAAUGACCAGACAAACCAGAGAUAAGUAAAAUAUAGAAAUAUAAACUUUAUUUAAAUUAUUUAAAACUAAAGUGGGGAAUGGGAAAGGGAAUCUAAAAAUCUCGCUUCUCGCCCUCAGGGGGAGUAUUACGGGGCCAGGGACGUUGGAGGGGUUUCCAUGUGACUCCAGCUGGAACACCGCUACAGAGCGUAUCUGGGUGGGUUGGGCACACACCGUCGCGGCGGCCCCUGAUGGCAUCCACAAAGGUCCAAGACCCUCCUAAGCUCCUAGCCGUAGCAGAACUACGUAUUUCAGCACCCAAAGGACUAACAACCCAGCCGGCAUCUGCAGCGUAUAUCCAACGCGAUCAAACUUCACUCUGAAAAGUAACUUCCUAUACACAACCACGCCGUCCUUUCGCCCGGACCAGCCCCACACUCUUUCUGCCCGCUACCUAGCGGUCGCCGGAUCAGCAGAGCCUGCGGACUCUUCGGAGGCUGGUCUUCGUUGUGCUGCCCAAGGCGGAAGUUGACUCGCCCGAAAAUCGACCCUUCCAGUAACUUCUACCUUCUCUCUUUAUAUCCUCCUCCAUGGCGUGGCUCGCCCAACCAUCGCUCGCCACGUCACUCACACAGCUGUGCCUUGUUUCAGCGAGUGCGGGGAUUCCCGGGGAACCCGGAA